Molecule: long non-coding RNA, 1432 nt
Filed under: Homo sapiens (human)
Lineage: Eukaryota; Metazoa; Chordata; Mammalia; Primates; Hominidae
Description: OIP5 antisense RNA 1
Source: RNAcentral
GAGAAGCUGCGAAGAUGGCGGAGUAAGGCGUGCCGCUGCAAACUGGCCUCUGGGCCGGGGGCGAGCAGCCCCCGGGAGGCCGAGUGCAUCUGUUGGACCGUGCGAGGAGAAGAAAAAAAAUAUCGGCCAGAGGAGAGGAACUAACCGAACAUUCUUCCUCCCUACCUUAUAGAGGGGAGUGGUCAUCUACACUAAAGCAAAGUGUUAGGCGCGUCCGUGCGAAGAGACCACCAAACAGGCUUUGUGUUCCUUAUCACAGGAAGAAAAUUUUCCUUGACCUUUAGGUGCUUUUAUAUUCAUCUCAAAAACAAAAUUCUGAACUCAGGACUUGGCAACCCUAGUAACCUCUCUACUCUAAAUCUCUAUGAAUUUGACUGUUGUAUCUGAUGUGUCUCUAUGUUGUCUCCUAGAGUGGGUAGUCCUGCUUCUUUUACCCAGUUACUUUCCCGUUUUUGAAAUGUGGCUAUCACUUCUCUACACAUUACCUCCAUGAUUUGGAAUGGAAAAGGCCACUUUUCUUUUUGUUCUGCCUCUCAAAUUCAACACAGAGGAGCUCCUAGGAUUCCAGUUAUCCUGCUAACAUCUCCAGGAAGAAAGAAGCAACUCACAUGGGUCUUUUGCUGUUUGCUUAAUUAUAAAGACAUCAUUUUGCAAGCAGAAGGCUGAGUUUCAUUUGAAACAGGUGCUUAGGUGGUGGUAUUUGUGAAUACUUUUCAUUCCAAGCAAGAAGACUAAAGAAGUAGCAAGUAUGAAUGACUUCAGGGUUUAAAAAAAAUGUCUUCCAGUUUCAGCCACUACCAUGAUAAGCACAGUUGAGACUGCAGCAGUAAAUUCCAAAUAUGUGUUUCUAAUUUGACGUGAAAGAUACUAAAAAUUUAUAUUUGUAUAUUUAAAUCCUGGCUCAUCCUGUGACAUAGAUUUACUGAAUAGGAACAAAGGCCCAAUUUUAAACAAAAACCUAGGCCGGGUGUGGUGGCUCACACCUGUAAUCCCAACACUUUGGGAGGCCAAGGCAGGCAAAUCACCUGAGGUUGGGAGUUUGAGACCAGCCUGACCAACAUGGAGAAACCCCAUCUCUACUAAAAAUAGAAAAUUAGCCAGGUGUGGUGGUAGAUACGUGUAAUCCCAGCUACUCGUGAGGCUGAGGCAGGAGAAUUGCUUGAAUCCGGGAGGCGGAGGUUGCAGUGAACUGAGAUUGCACCACUGCACUCCAGCCUGGGCGACAGAGUGAGACUCCGUCUCAGAAAAAUAAAAAACAACUUUGGACAUAGAGGAGUUGGGGGCAGAGGGGGGAGGAUGAGAGAAUUUUCCAUGUAACUCCUUUUCCUUAAGAAAAAGAAGCAAAAAUCCCUCAUGCAGUGCCAUCUGACUUUAUGGUGUUUCACAUUAUAUAGUUACUUUUUUUAAUAAACGCAUAAGAUUAACUCUUCCU